UGGUGCACUGUCGCCAGUUCUAAAAGAUGGAUUUCCAGAAACUACUGCUGAUGGGGCACCACAGAGAUGUCUCUACCAAUCAGGCAGAAAUGCAAUGAAGCCUUCUAGAAAGGGAAGGUGAAGCACUGGGAUCUGAACCUGGAGGCGGAUCAGAUGGAAGACUGACCUUGAAGUGAACCUUUUCAGAUGGAAGAACACAGCAACAGAGAGUGCCACAGAGAAAUCUGCAAUCCCUUCCAGAGGCCCGCUGAGCAGAUGCUGCAGGGGAGCCUGGGUUCUGAGGGCUGUGCUGACUUCCCACUUCCUCCGGGAGCCCGCCUAGUUAAAGAUGGAAAAGCAAUUGCCCUGCUCCCUCCACAGGAUCCUGCAACAUGGAGCAUCCCACUCUUUGAAUUCUCCUGGAAACUGAUUUCUGUGCCUCCUGUUCUCCACAUAUAACCACAGGACUGGAGUCUCAGGCGUGUACUCUGAGUAGCUGGACAGGACCCUGCACUGAGAAGGGCCUAGACUUGGUCAAAUGCUCUGUUGUCACUGUCUUGAAAUUCCUAAUAAUAUUUUAACACGGGACCCACAAUUUCAUUUUGAACUGGGCCCCACUAAUUAUGUAGCCAGUCCUGUCUAACCACAAAUAUUAAUGUGAAGCAAUAGCUAAUCAUAACUUUGAUUAUAAAAUAUAUACUCUGAAUAUGAAUCAGUUACAGUAAAUUGACACUCACAAUUUACCACAGUCUAGGAAAAGUCACAAGUUAUUUUAAAGAUUUUUAUGCCCUUACCAUAAUCCUUUUCAUGAAGAAAUGCUUAGUAAAGAUAAGAGAUCAGGAAUGACUAACUUUUAUCACUUUCUGUCAGAGCGUUAAAACAUGGAUAAGAAAAAUCAAUGAAAACUUCCCCAGGUCACAGAAAUUAGUAGUGGCACCUAGACCAAGGAGUUGACAUUUAAUAGCAAUUAAAUUGCAUCUAAAGAACUUUUCUAGUGAACAUGAAAACCCUCAAUGAAAUUUUGAAUUUCUACUUAUAGCACCAAUGAUGUAACCUUUAGGAUGAAGCUAGAGAUCCCUCCUAUUGAAGGUUCCUGAAAAUAAUAGUUUUGUAAUGAAUGGCGUGCAUCCCCCAGAAAAGUAUGGUCAAGUCUUAACCAUGGGUCACUGUGAAUGUGGCCUUUGGAAACAGGGCAACUGAAGAUACAAUUAAGAUGAGGUCAUGCUGGAUUGGGGUAGGCACUAAAUCCAAUGAUCUUAUAAUAGUCAGACCUGCAGAGGUGCACAGAGAACUAGAUGAGAAAAAGAUGGUGUGAGAGAGAGAGAGAGACUGCAGGGACGUACCUAGAAGCCAAAGAACCUGCAAGGCCCCCCAACAACCGCAAGGUAGGAAAGAGGCAGGAGACUGUCUCGGAGACUCCAGAAGGGACCAGCCCUGCCCAUGCUUGGUUUCUCCAAAACUGUGAGAAAAUAAAUUUUUGUGGUUUUUAA
Molecule: non-coding RNA, 1469 nt
Organism: Marmota flaviventris (yellow-bellied marmot)
Lineage: Eukaryota; Metazoa; Chordata; Mammalia; Rodentia; Sciuridae
Source: RefSeq, a predicted model, not a curated record